Molecule: unclassified non-coding RNA, 358 nt
Filed under: soil metagenome
Description: partial contains 5.8S ribosomal RNA, internal transcribed spacer 2, and large subunit ribosomal RNA
Rfam family: 5.8S ribosomal RNA (bases 1-120)
Source: RNAcentral
GAUGAAGAACGCAGCGAAAUGCGAUAAGUAAUGUGAAUUGCAGAAUUCAGUGAAUCAUCGAAUCUUUGAACGCACAUUGCGCCCGUCAGUAUUCUGGCGGGCAUGCCUGUUCGAGCGUCAUUACGCCCCUCAAGUCCCCUGUGGACUUGGUGUUGGGGAUCGGCGAGGCUGGUUUUCCAGCACAACCGUCCCUUAAAUUAAUUGGCGGUCUCGCCGUGGCCCUCCUCUGCGCAGUAGUAAAACACUCGCAACAGGAGCCCGGCGCGGUCCACUGCCGUAAAACCCCCCAACUUUUUAUAGUUGACCUCGAAUCAGGUAGGACUACCCGCUGAACUUAAGCAUAUCAAUAAGCGGAGGA